AAGCAACGUUGGGCCUGGUUAGUACUUGGAUCGGAGACGGCCUGGGAAUCCCAGGUGUUGUAGACAUUUUUGUUUUUUUCUUUUAAUCUUUUACAAAUAUAAGUAUUUUUGGCUUGUAGAUAGAUAGAUCAAUUUAAAAAUCUUGCAACUGUUAGCAGAAGCAAAAAGAUAAAAGAAAAUGAUGAAUUUAUUGUAACAAUAAUAUUUGCUAUUUGUCAAUUAAUGUUAUUUGAAAAGUAAAUAAGAUUUAGAAAUGAAUGUUUAUGUGUUUUGUAAACGAUAUACUAUUGCACAUAUAUGUAUUGUUGAUGGAAUAGAAAAUUUUUACUUUAGAAUUUUGAAAAAUUUAUUUCAUUUUUAAACACUUUGAAAAUGUUUCUCGGUUUGAAACGCUAACUCACUCAUUUUAAAGAGCAACAAUGUAAGAACUGAAAGUGGGAGAAUUUUUCAACGGUUUAAUUACCCAAGUUUGAGGUAAUUGAAUGUUUCAGCCCAGAGUUUCGGCUCAUGUGGCUUGAAGAUAAAUUUUGGAACGUCCUGUGCUAAACGGGACAACAAAAAUGAAUGCAAAACGGAAAUUAAAUACACUUUUUUUUUUCCUCAGUUGAACAAUUAAAAACAUUUGUAAAAGUAGAUAAAUUUUACAAUGUAACAUGUAAAAGCAUAUAACAUUUAUUGAUAAUAUGCAUUGUAUAUAAUGUCUACGACCAUACCACAUUGAAAGCACGACAUCUCGUCCGAUCUGUC
Molecule: unclassified non-coding RNA, 747 nt
Filed under: Setaria labiatopapillosa
Lineage: Eukaryota; Metazoa; Nematoda; Chromadorea; Rhabditida; Setariidae
Source: RNAcentral